This 403-nucleotide long non-coding RNA is filed under the name Brachypodium distachyon (stiff brome). RNAcentral describes it as "long non-coding RNA (BDIS_LNC003858)". Lineage: Eukaryota; Viridiplantae; Streptophyta; Magnoliopsida; Poales; Poaceae. The record is from RNAcentral.
UACCCAUAUAUGAUGCGACAUUGUUUUUCCAUUAAAUUUAUUGAAAUAUUGAAUGUUAAAAACAAAAUGUUAUUAGAAUUAUUAAAUAAAAUAAAAAUAAAAACAUUAAAAUAUAUUCUGCAAUUAUAAAAUAUAAAUAUUAAAUGUUAUAUGUCUGUUAUACGAAUCGCCCUACCUAAACAUUUUUUGUCCUUCCACCACAGAGAUAUGUGUUGUCUAGCAGGCCAUAAGAACGAUCAGUGGUAGAAGUCUUUUUAAGGCCUGACUAGUGUGCAGUUUUGUUUCAUUUCGUGCAUAAGUUCAUGAACAUGUUUCCUAAAAAUAAGUUCAUGGGCUUGUUUUUCAUGUUUGGACUUUUUCAUUUGUUUUUUUAGUUUAUGUUGUCUUUACUUAUCAUCGAAGC